GUGGCAGGUGGUGGGGGGUGGGGGCAAAUGGAGCUGCAGUUUAUGGAUUCUGGGGAUGGCUGGUGCUCAUGAUGCUCAUCCAAAGAAGCAGCUUGCCGAUUGUUCUGCAGAAUCUUCUAGACACUGGAAGUUGGUGAUGUCAUCAAUGAUUUCAGGCUCCUCCCUGCAGCCUUUCCAAUAAUCUGAAGAGUCUUCAACAGUUAUACAGGACCUGGUGCAAGAUUUCAGAGUUGCAGAACUAUUGGGUAGCAGUGACCAUAGUGUGACCCAAUUCAGCUUAUAUGCAAGUGGAGAAUUGUCAAGGUAGUCCAACACAGAUGAAGAAGGCUGGCGGGGGGAGAGGGAACCCACAUGGACACACACACACCACCGUGGCUUCACCAAGCCCCCCAAAGGAGCUACAGGCUGCAUUACUCUUCCUUCCAUCCUGCUUUCUAUAGGAUGAAACAAUUGCCUUGUUUACUCCCGCAAGCAGUGGGGAAGCUGACAAGAUGGAGAGGAGCUGGGUGACAGAAACAGCAGUUAUAUCUUCUUUCACAGCUACACAGAUGUUAAAGAAACAGACACAAUCCAGUUUGUAAACUGGCAAACAGAUCUACAUACCCAUUUAUACUCACAUAGAUCCAUGAAAGUUCCAGAUGAGACAGCAUAUCCUCAGUUUUCAUCAAGCCAAGAAGGCACUCACAUGACAUGGGAAUAAAUAUCGUCCCCGGGAGCCCACUGGACCAACAACCCACGUCUCUGCUGAUCGUCAAAUCUUUGGCAACCCCUGCCUUAAAUAAAGCCCUACAUUUAGGACCCCCCCAUCCAGGUUGCUCCUUCUCCCUUGGCCAGGCAAGUGGAUUGGCCACCCAAUCUCUGACCUCCCAAGGGGCCUUUCCCUCUAACUCCACCCUCCUGGCUAGCACUUCUAUUCAGGACUGUGACUGUGGGGCAGACGUCAUCCUUAUUCCGUCACCACCUCUCUGCUGCCUCUUGGGCUGCGGCAGCCCACCCCCCACCCCCCAGCAGCCAUUACCCACCUCUCCAAGCCUUUCCUAUCUUCUGGGAGGGAAUUGCUGGGGUUGUCCUGGCAACCGGAGCCUCCUGCCUCUCUCGGCACAUCACUGUUUGACCGGGUAAACAACCCUGUUUCAUGGAGGAGGGUGGGGAAGCCCAACAGCAGGUUUAUCUUAUGAGAGUUUUCCCUGUGUAGUUCAGUCCAAUUUUUUAUUUGGACUGAAUUUAUUCAUUUUAUUUAUUUAUUUAUAUUAAUAAUAUUAAUUUAUUUUCAUAAUCUUUCACUGUUCAGUCCUGGAAAGCCUAGUGUUAGCAACAAAAUAUAGAGGGGUUUGUUCGUUGCUUUGGUUUUGGUUUUUUUAAGCACCUUGGAAGAAACAUCUCCAGUCUGGAUAACCAGCACUGGGAUUCUAAAUGUCAUCACACAGGUAUAUAAAAUAAGUUAAAUAAGCAAAUUAAAAUCUUAAUCUAUUCAACAAUUAUAAAGAAUUAAGAAAAUGAGCUAAAACUAUGCUUUUCGUUUGGUUGGUGUGCUCAUUUGGUAUGCCCAUAAGGAUUACAACAGACCUCUCUGUGAGACAAUUUCCAUGGUGGGAGGAGUUGCCCACACUCUAGUUAGAUAUCUUGUUAUUUAUUGCACUGUUGCAGAUCCUUGCUAAUAGUUGUUAAAGUGUGACCCUAGUUUAAUUCCA
This is a long non-coding RNA of Hemicordylus capensis (graceful crag lizard), 1691 nucleotides long. RefSeq lists it as uncharacterized. NCBI's taxonomy places the organism in Eukaryota, Metazoa, Chordata, Lepidosauria, Squamata, Cordylidae. The transcript has 3 exons. The record is from RefSeq and is a predicted model, not a curated record.